AGUGAACGCUGGCGGUAGGCCUAACACAUGCAAGUCGAACGGCAGCACAGUAAGAGCUUGCUCUUACGGGUGGCGAGUGGCGGACGGGUGAGGAAUACAUCGGAAUCUACUUUUUCGUGGGGGAUAACGUAGGGAAACUUACGCUAAUACCGCAUACGACCUACGGGUGAAAGCAGGGGAUCUUCGGACCUUGCGCGAUUGAAUGAGCCGAUGUCGGAUUAGCUAGUUGGCGGGGUAAAGGCCCACCAAGGCGGCGAUCCGUAGCUGGUCUGAGAGGAUGAUCAGCCACACUGGAACUGAGACACGGUCCAGACUCCUACGGGAGGCAGCAGUGGGGAAUAUUGGACAAAGGGCGCAAGCCUGAUCCAGCCAUUCCGCGUGGGUGAAGAAGGCCUUCGGGUUGUAAAGCCCUUUUGUUGGGAAAGAAAAGCAGCAGGUUAAUACCCCGCUGUUCUGACGGUACCCAAAGAAUAAGCACCGGCUAACUUCGUG
RNAcentral lists this ribosomal RNA (492 nucleotides) under uncultured bacterium. RNAcentral's name for it is "partial 16S ribosomal RNA". It matches the Rfam family "Bacterial small subunit ribosomal RNA", at positions 29 to 507 of the family's 1533-position model. The record is from RNAcentral.